UAGUUGGUGGGGUAAAGGCCUACCAAGGCGACGAUCUGUAGCGGGUCUGAGAGGAUGAUCCGCCACACUGGAACUGAGACACGGUCCAGACUCCUACGGGAGGCAGCAGUGGGGAAUUUUGGACAAUGGGGGCAACCCUGAUCCAGCCAUGCCGCGUGAGUGAAGAAGGCCUUCGGGUUGUAAAGCUCUUUCGUCCGGGAAGAAAUCGCACAGGCUAAUACUCUGUGUGGAUGACGGUACCGGAAUAAGAAGCACCGGCUAACUACGUGCCAGCAGCCGCGGUAAUACGUAGGGUGCGAGCGUUAAUCGGAAUUACUGGGCGUAAAGCGUGCGCAGGCGGUUUUGUAAGACAGGCGUGAAAUCCCCGGGCUCAACCUGGGAACUGCGCUUGUGACUGCAAGGCUAGAGUACGGCAGAGGGGGGUGGAAUUCCACGUGUAGCAGUGAAAUGCGUAGAGAUGUGGAGGAACACCGAUGGCGAAGGCAGCCCCCUGGGCCGAUACUGACGCUCAUGCACGAAAGCGUGGGUAGCAAACAGGAUUAGAUACCCUGGUAGUCCACGCCCUAAACGAUGUCAACUAGGUGUUGGGUGGGUAAAACCAUUUAGUACCGUAGCUAACGCGUGAAGUUGACCGCCUGGGGAGUACGGCCGCAAGGUUAAAACUCAAAGGAAUUGACGGGGACCCGCAUAAGCGGUGGAUGAUGUGGAUUAACUCGAUGCAACGCGAAAAACCUUACCUACCCUUGACAUGUCCGGAAUCCCUGAGAGAUUGGGGAGUGCCCGAAAGGGAAUCGGAACACAGGUGCUGCAUGGCUGUCGUCAGCUCGUGUCGUGAGAUGUUGGGUUAAGUCCCGCAACGAGCGCAACCCUUGUCGUUAAUUGCCAUCAUUUAGUUGGGCACUUUAGCGAGACUGCCGG
RNAcentral lists this ribosomal RNA (918 nucleotides) under uncultured bacterium. RNAcentral's name for it is "bacterial SSU rRNA". It matches the Rfam family "Bacterial small subunit ribosomal RNA", at positions 246 to 1155 of the family's 1533-position model. The record is from RNAcentral.